UUGAACCGCAUGGUUCAAAAGUGAAAGACGGUCUUGCUGUCACUUAUAGAUGGAUCCGCGCUGCAUUAGCUAGUUGGUAAGGUAACGGCUUACCAAGGCAACGAUGCAUAGCCGACCUGAGAGGGUGAUCGGCCACACUGGAACUGAGACACGGUCCAGACUCCUACGGGAGGCAGCAGUAGGGAAUCUUCCGCAAUGGGCGAAAGCCUGACGGAGCAACGCCGCGUGAGUGAUGAAGGUCUUCGGAUCGUAAAACUCUGUUAUUAGGGAAGAACAUAUGUGUAAGUAACUGUGCACAUCUUGACGGUACCUAAUCAGAAAGCCACGGCUAACUACGUGCCAGCAGCCGCGGUAAUACGUAGGUGGCAAGCGUUAUCCGGAAUUAUUGGGCGUAAAGCGCGCGUAGGCGGUUUUUUAAGUCUGAUGUGAAAGCCCACGGCUCAACCGUGGAGGGUCAUUGGAAACUGGAAAACUUGAGUGCAGAAGAGGAAAGUGGAAUUCCAUGUGUAGCGGUGAAAUGCGCAGAGAUAUGGAGGAACACCAGUGGCGAAGGCGACUUUCUGGUCUGUAACUGACGCUGAUGUGCGAAAGCGUGGGGAUCAAACAGGAUUAGAUACCCUGGUAGUCCACGCCGUAAACGAUGAGUGCUAAGUGUUAGGGGGUUUCCGCCCCUUAGUGCUGCAGCUAACGCAUUAAGCACUCCGCCUGGGGAGUACGACCGCAAGGUUGAAACUCAAAGGAAUUGACGGGGACCCGCACAAGCGGUGGAGCAUGUGGUUUAAUUCGAAGCAACGCGAAGAACCUUACCAAAUCUUGACAUCCUUUGACAACUCUAGAGAUAGAGCCUUCCCCUUCGGGGGACAAAGUGACAGGUGGUGCAUGGUUGUCGUCAGCUCGUGUCGUGAGAUGUUGGGUUAAGUCCCGCAACGAGCGCAACCCUUAAGCUUAGUUGCCAUCAUUAAGUUGGGCACUCUAAGUUGACUGCCGGUGACAAACCGGAGGAAGGUGGGGAUGACGUCAAAUCAUCAUGCCCCUUAUGAUUUGGGCUACACACGUGCUACAAUGGACAAUACAAAGGGCAGCGAAACCGCGAGGUCAAGCAAAUCCCAUAAAGUUGUUCUCAGUUCGGAUUGUAGUCUGCAACUCGACUACAUGAAGCUGGAAUCGCUAGUAAUCGUAGAUCAGCAUGCUACGGUGAAUACGUUCCCGGGUCUUGUACACACCGCCCGUCACACCACGAGAGUUUGUAACACCCGAAGCCGGUGGAGUAACCUUUUAGGAGCUAGCCGUCGAAGGUGGGACAAAUGAUUGGGGUGAAGUCGUAACAAGGUAGCCGUAUCGGAAGGUGCGGCUGGAUCACCUCCUUUCUAAGGA
RNAcentral lists this ribosomal RNA (1374 nucleotides) under Staphylococcus aureus. RNAcentral's name for it is "bacterial SSU rRNA". It matches the Rfam family "Bacterial small subunit ribosomal RNA", at positions 181 to 1533 of the family's 1533-position model. Lineage: Bacteria; Bacillati; Bacillota; Bacilli; Caryophanales; Staphylococcaceae. The record is from RNAcentral.